Molecule: long non-coding RNA, 1572 nt
Organism: Bubalus bubalis (water buffalo)
Lineage: Eukaryota; Metazoa; Chordata; Mammalia; Artiodactyla; Bovidae
Exons: 3
Source: RefSeq, a predicted model, not a curated record
CACAGAGUCGGACACGACUGAAAUGACUUAGCAGCUUAGCAGCAACAGCAGGGAUUAUUACAUAGGAAUGGGAAAUAAAAGAGGAAGUGGAAAGAGAUUGCUAUGCAUUAUUUAGGAAAAUGUAGAAUCUCCACCCAGUCCUUCACACACACACACACACACACACACACACACACACACAAAACUCCUCAUUCAACAUUCUUGGACUAGAUAAGUUAGCAGCAUUAUCUCAUCUGGAGAAGUGCUAAAAAAGUAAAGAAGGGUAAGUUUGGAAGAGUAUCUCUUCUUUUUUGAGUUGAGGUAGCAAUGCGAGGAGAGGAAAAGAGAGGCUUUUCUUAUAGUUUUAUUUUACGUGAGCAUACAUUCCUUCUAGGCAACCUUGAGUGAUGUGUCACAGAAUCAUGAUAUUCUCUAAGAUACAGUUUUUAAAAUGCUUUUAUAUGAUAUAACCAUAAAAAAUAGGGAAUUGGUUUAAUGUGUUUGGGUUAUUUAGCUUAAUUUCCAGAUAGAUUAUUGACAGGAAUAAACAUGGACUAAAAUAUAUCAAACAGGAGAUGAUUAAAACAAUUAUCCUGAUAAAUGUAUAUUAAACUAAACUUUUCUAUUGAGGGGAAAAACAUUUUAUUGAAACAAUUUAGUUAACUUAAUUACUUUAUGAUAAAGAUUAAAAACAAGUAACUAAAAAAUACCUUAUAGUAAAAUUUUUAAAACUCUUGUUUUGUUACUAGGGUUUUUUUCCAUGUAACAUCAGCAGGAAUGCAGUAUACAGUUGCAAGAAUGGUGGUCAUCGUGAAAUGGACAUAUACAUGCAGACAAAAUGUCAAGAGUGCAGACUAAAAAGUGUAAGGCAGUAAGAAUGUAAGGAGAAUGUUUGCUCACAGAAAUCCAAUGCAAAUCAAAUGGACUUCGAAAGAACUUUAAGCAGAAGAAUAGCUUCGGCUCUAACAUCAAAACAGAAGAGAAAGGGAUUCAGGAGGACAUGGAACUAACUCAAGAGGAACAUCAGCUCAUUAACACAUUGUGGCUGCUCAUCAAAAAUAUACAAUUCUUUUAGAAGCAACAGAAAGAUUUGUAUGUGUUCAUUAAUGGCAAGAAAUAAUUUGUAAUUAAUUAUGUUAGAAAAUAACAGCAUAAUCAUAAAAGUUUAAAAUUUAAAGUUAUUUGAAAGAAAGAAAUUAUAAAUUGUAUUUCUUUUUUUGUUGGUUAGCUGCAGGGAUAUGGAAAUCCUGAACUGAUCUUUCUGCAACUCUCAUAGAUAGUCUUACAUAUACAGAGCUUAGUGGAUUUCACCAAGGGACUUCCAGGUAUCACACUGCCUUUGGAAAAAAUUAAAGUAAUUUAAUAUGUAAUUUUUUAAAAGUUCCUUGUUUUAAAGGAAGGUGACAUUUUAAGAAGACAAAACCUUCUAGUUCUCUACCAAAACUGCCUCUAAAUUCAAAAACAUAUUGACUUUGUUUGCUUUAAUCAAUCAGGCGGAUGAAAAUAUAAAUAUUUAAAAAUAUUAUUCAAGUGACUUCAAAGACUUAGAGUUAAGACAAACUGUGAUUGGUUGUAUGUUUUAUUUUAUUUUUG